RNAcentral lists this ribosomal RNA (1228 nucleotides) under metagenome. Its description in RNAcentral is "bacterial LSU rRNA". It matches the Rfam family "Bacterial large subunit ribosomal RNA", at positions 1564 to 2800 of the family's 2925-position model. The record is from RNAcentral.
UGAGUACGAGAUGCUACGGCAACGAAGCAGUCUAUGUCAUACUUCCAAGAAAAGCUUGCAAUGUCAUAAACAAAUAAUGCCUGUACCAUAACCGACACAGGUGGGUAGGUAGAGUAUACUAAGGGGCGCGAGAUAACUCUCUCUAAGGAACUCGGCAAAAUGACUCCGUAACUUCGGGAGAAGGAGUGCCUUAUUUUUAUAAGGUUGCAAUAACAAGAUCCAAGCAACUGUUUACCAAAAACACAGGUCUCCGCUAAGUCGUAAGACGAUGUAUGGGGGCUGACGCCUGCCCAGUGCCAGAAGGUUAAAGAAGUUGGUUAGCAUUAGCGAAGCUGAUAACUGAAGCCCUGGUGAACGGCGGCCGUAACAAUAACGGUCCUAAGGUAGCGAAAUUCCUGGUCGGGUAAGUUCCGACCCGCACGAAAGGCGUAAUGAUUUGGAUACUGUCUCGGAGAGGGGCUCGGUGAAAUAGACUUGUCUGUGAAGAUGCGGACUACCUGCACCUGGACAGAAAGACCCUAUGAAGCUUUACUGCAACUUGAGAUUGAAAUUGGACUUUAUCUGCGCAGUAUAGGUGGGAGACGUUGAAAAUAUUCUUGCGGGAAUAUUGGAGUCAUCAGUGAGAUACCACUCUUAUAAUGUUAGAUUUCUAACUUUGUAUCAUUAUCUGGUCAAAGAACAGUUUCAGGCGGGCAGUUUGACUGGGGCGGUCGCCUCCCAAACGGUAACGGAGGCGCACAAAGGUUUCCUCUGAACGUGUAGAAAUCGUAUCUAGAGUGUAAAGGCAUAAGGAAGCUUGACUGUGAGACCUACAAGUCGAGCAGGGACGAAAGUCGGUCUUAGUGAUCUGACGGUGCUGAGUGGAAAGGCCGUCACUCAACGGAUAAAAGUUACUCUAGGAUAACAGGCUGAUCUCCCCCAAGAGUUCACAUCGACGGGGAGGUUUGGCACCUCGAUGUCGGCUCAUCGCAUCCUGGGGCGGUAGUACGUCCCAAGGGUUGGGCUGUUCGCCCAUGAAAGCGGUACGCGAGCUGGGUUCAGAACGUCGUGAGACAGUUCGGUCCAUAUCCGGCGUAGGCGUUAGAAUAUUGAGAGGAGCCUUCUUUAGUACGAGAGGACCGAGAAGGACAUACCUCUGGUGUACCAGUUAUCGUGCCAACGGUAAACGCUGGGUAGCCAUGUAUGGAGAGGAUAACCGCUGAAAGCAUCUAAGUGGGAAGCCCACCUC